Molecule: ribosomal RNA, 253 nt
Filed under: uncultured bacterium
Lineage: Bacteria
Description: partial 16S ribosomal RNA
Rfam family: Bacterial small subunit ribosomal RNA
Source: RNAcentral
UACGUAGGGACCAAGCGUUGUUCGGAUUUACUGGGCGUAAAGGGCGCGUAGGCGGCGAUUCAAGUGACGGGUGAAAUCCCUCGGCUUAACCGAGGAACUGCCUGUCAGACUGGAUUGCUUGAGGCCGGGAGAGGCGAGUGGAAUUCCCAGUGUAGCGGUGAAAUGCGUAGAUAUUGGGAGGAACACCAGUGGCGAAGGCGGCUCGCUGGACCGGUUCUGACGCUGAGGCGCGAAAGCGUGGGGAGCAAACAGG